RNAcentral lists this ribosomal RNA (410 nucleotides) under uncultured bacterium. Its description in RNAcentral is "bacterial SSU rRNA". It matches the Rfam family "Bacterial small subunit ribosomal RNA", at positions 514 to 920 of the family's 1533-position model. The record is from RNAcentral.
GCCGCGGUAAUACGUAGGGUGCGAGCGUUAAUCGGAAUUACUGGGCGUAAAGCGUGCGCAGGCGGUUUGUUAAGAUAGGCGUAGAAAUCCCCGGGGCUCAACCUGGGAACUGCGUUUAUGACUGGCAGGCUAGAGUAUGGCAGAGGGGGGUGGAAUUCCACGUGUAGCAGUGAAAUGCGUAGAGAUGUGGAGGAACACCGAUGGCGAAGGCAGCCCCCUGGGCCAAUACUGACGCUCAUGCACGAAAGCGUGGGUAGCAAACAGGAUUAGAUACCCUGGUAGUCCACGCCCUAAACGAUGUCAACUAGGUGUUGGGAGGGUAAAACCUUUUAGUACCGGAGCUAACGCGUGAAGUUGACCGCCUGGGGAGUACGGCCGCAAGGUUAAAACUCAAAGGAAUUGACGGGGAC